This 63-nucleotide transfer RNA is filed under the name Limnoria quadripunctata. RNAcentral describes it as "tRNA-Glu". Lineage: Eukaryota; Metazoa; Arthropoda; Malacostraca; Isopoda; Limnoriidae. The record is from RNAcentral.
GUCUCUAUAGUGUAAACUAACACAUUACAAUUUCAAAGUAAAAAUAUAUUUCUAUUAGGAAAU